UAUUAUUAGUAUUAGAUACAUAAACUUUUGGAGUUUAAAUAAUAAGUUCAAAUCUUAUAAUAAUAA
This 66-nucleotide transfer RNA is filed under the name Haemadipsa tianmushana. RNAcentral describes it as "tRNA-Gln". RNAcentral also lists the same sequence under 1 other name. The record is from RNAcentral. Lineage: Eukaryota; Metazoa; Annelida; Clitellata; Hirudinida; Haemadipsidae.